CCUACGGGAGGCAGCAGUGGGGAAUUUUGGACAAUGGGCGCAAGCCUGAUCCAGCAAUGCCGCGUGAGUGAAGAAGGCCUUCGGGUUGUAAAGCUCUUUUGUCAGGGAAGAAACGGUGGGAGCUAAUAUCUCCCGCUAAUGACGGUACCUGAAGAAUAAGCACCGGCUAACUACGUGCCAGCAGCCGCGGUAAUACGUAGGGUGCAAGCGUUAAUCGGAAUUACUGGGCGUAAAGCGUGCGCAGGCGGUUUUGUAAGUCUGUCGUGAAAGCCCCGGGCUCAACCUGGGAAUUGCGAUGGAGACUGCAAGGCUUGAAUCUGGCAGAGGGGGGUAGAAUUCCACGUGUAGCAGUGAAAUGCGUAGAGAUGUGGAGGAACACCGAUGGCGAAGGCAGCCCCCUGGGUCAAGAUUGACGCUCAUGCACGAAAGCGUGGGGAGCAAACAGGAUUAGAUACCCUGGUAGUCCACGCCCUAAACGAUGUCUACUAGUUGUCGGGUUUUAAUUAACUUGGUAACGCAGCUAACGCGUGAAGUAGACCGCCUGGGGAUACGGUCGCAAGNUUAAAACUUAAUGAAUUGACGG
RNAcentral lists this ribosomal RNA (583 nucleotides) under uncultured bacterium. Its description in RNAcentral is "bacterial SSU rRNA". It matches the Rfam family "Bacterial small subunit ribosomal RNA", at positions 338 to 916 of the family's 1533-position model. The record is from RNAcentral.